GUUUGCAGAGGGCAAGGCGGGGCAGGUCCAGUCCUGUGGGAAUGUCCCCCCACUACGUCCUUCCUCCUGGGAUGAGCCCCACCCUACCUCCUCCACCUGGGCCUGCCAAGGUCUCCAUGGCCACUUCCCUCUGGGCAGCCAUCCCUUCCAGGGCCCUGGGCCACAGCAGGCAGGGAAUGGAGUUAUCUAGGAGUGGACUAUAGCUUCCCUCAGGAAAAAGGGAUGGAUUAUCAUCACUGUAUGGCCUUGGGACGUACCAGCUCACUGAAGAAAUCAUCAGGGCUCCUACUCAUGAAGUCCAUCCUGCAAGUGAGGACAACCCCUGAAUCUGGCUCCAAAGAGGUGGUGCUCCCCACAUAGCUCUCCAUAGCAUGGUCACUGACAAAAGGCUGAAUUGAGCAGGCAAAGGCACAGAACUCCCUUCUGCCCACGGCUCUCCCUCCAGUCACCUUUGUGGAGCACAAUGAGCUUUUUGUCCAACCCAUUCAUCUUACUGAUGGGGUCACUGGCCUACCCUCCAAGGAACUUGCCAUGGAGCUGGAAGGCGCAAGCCCUGAGCCUGCAUCUUGGCCCUUCUCUGGCUCCAAGCACAACACCCCAACUCUGUUUCUUUAUCUGGACAGCAAGUUCCUGAGAACCAUCCCACCUGGAGAAUUUCUACAUGCCAUGUUUUAUGUGAAGCACUCUAAUCAUUUUUUUAAGCUAUGCAUCAAGCAGCUAUAUUAUCUCAUUUAAUUUCCUGUUAUUCUCCCCAUCUGAGUCUGAGGACAUCUGGGUUCAGAGAGGGAAAGUUGAUUCAGCUGGUCACACAGUCAGUGAGCAAUGGAGUCGAGAUUGGACUCUGGCCAGCAGAUGUUGGGUCCUCCUGGGCUGCUACCCACUUCAAUUCUCAAAGGGAUACAACUCACAGAUGUGGUGGACUUUAGUGGGAAAAGGCUUCCCUCACCCCCUGCCCACACCUCACAAAUGAAAAGUAAUCCUGGAUGGGGCUGCUGGGAGGAGGUCUCCAUGUGGCCAGAAGGGGCGGGCUGCUGCUGUGUCCUGGGGGAGAAGGUCAGGCAGCAGGAAGUCAGGCGGACAGGGAGCAGGGUGCUGACCGUAGCUCUGCAGGCGGGAGGCUGCUCUGGACGCCCUUCCAGGGCAAGACCAGCGUCAGCGAGGCCUCAGGCCUCAGAGGGAGCGGUCUGGAGCUCAAGGAGCCAAACUUUCCAUGAGCCAUUAGCAAAAAAUGAGCCUGGAGAACAGUGUCCACCGCAGACCCAGAGACUCAGCAACCCUGGGUCACGUGGAAUUCAGAGGGGCUGGGACUGUCUUAACUCUUCCCUGGCUGUCCCCAGAGCCACCAAGAAACUGCUUUCAGAUUGAUGCUACGCCCAUCGUGGAAAGCUGUGAAGUGGCAGUGUGGGUCCCCCAGGCCACACAGCCAAGACAGGCAAAGCUGGAAAUGACCCCACGCCUACAUGGCUGAGCAGUGCACCCAUUCCUCCCAUAGUGCCCUGCUGCUGCCCCAAGCACUCGGCUCCAAGGAGUGUGAAAAACAAAAAAAGAGUCUUCAUAAGUCCAUGAAAUGAUUUGUCUCAAAAGACCAUGAGUUGCCCUGUGCAGGCUGGCCUGGGCUGUCAGAGCUCGUUGGAAAUAGGGCUGAGUCAGCCCCCAUGAAGACUCCAGGAGUCCAUACCUGGGUGCUGAAAAGUGUAUAGAGGUGGGCCCUAAAAGGAUGGGCAGGAUUCCAAUGGGUAGAUGGA
Molecule: long non-coding RNA, 1745 nt
Organism: Bos taurus (domestic cattle)
Lineage: Eukaryota; Metazoa; Chordata; Mammalia; Artiodactyla; Bovidae
Source: Ensembl